Molecule: ribosomal RNA, 497 nt
Filed under: uncultured bacterium
Lineage: Bacteria
Description: partial 16S ribosomal RNA
Rfam family: Bacterial small subunit ribosomal RNA
Source: RNAcentral
GAUGAACGCUGGCGGCGUGCCUAAUACAUGCAAGUCGAGCGAACAGAUAAGGAGCUUGCUCCUUUGACGUUAGCGGCGGACGGGUGAGUAACACGUGGGUAACCUACCUAUAAGACUGGAAUAACUCCGGGAAACCGGGGCUAAUGCAGGAUAACAUGUUGAACCGCAUGGUUCUACAGUGAAAGGCGGCUUUGCUGUCACUUAUAGAUGGACCCGCGCCGUAUUAGCUAGUUGGUGAGGUAACGGCUCACCAAGGCAACGAUACGUAGCCGACCUGAGAGGGUGAUCGGCCACACUGGAACUGAGACACGGUCCAGACUCCUACGGGAGGCAGCAGUAGGGAAUCUUCCGCAAUGGGCGAAAGCCUGACGGAGCGACGCCGCGUGAGUGAUGAAGGUCUUCGGAUCGUAAAACUCUGUUAUCAGGGAAGAACAAAUGCGUAAGUAACUGUGCGCGUCUUGACGGUACCUAAUCAGAAAGCCACGGCUAACUACGUG